Non-coding RNA from Theobroma cacao (cacao), 2167 nucleotides. The record is from RefSeq and is a predicted model, not a curated record. NCBI's taxonomy places the organism in Eukaryota, Viridiplantae, Streptophyta, Magnoliopsida, Malvales, Malvaceae.
GGUGAUCCACCCAUUUCCAUUUGCCACAACCUCAACUCUGCAUAUCAGAUAAGCAACACCAAAAGAGUACAAUACAAACAACAUUCCGAAGACUGAAGUGGAUAGAAAAAAAACCAUGGUGACUCUUUCUCUGCCUAUGCGUCAAGCCCUUACCUUCCGCUCCUUUCCCAUUUACUCUGCAAUUUCUUCAAACAUCUGUGGACGACAGGGAGGAAUCGGGUAGCUAUAUUUUCGUGUGCUAGUGGUGAUCCUGGGCAGCGGGAUAGGAACCUCCGGCGGAGAAGGAAGGUGGUGGAACACAUAUGUCUGCUCAAAGCAAACAAGUAUUUAUCCUAUGAUCAAGAGAAGGAUAUGCUGGAUUAUCUUUACACAUCUCAAUAUCAGAUGCGUGGAAUUGUUGCAGUAUCUUUGGGCCAAAUAUCUGGUCAAACUAAAGAAGAUUUUACUCAUGCUGUCUUCAUGCGUUUCCAAAGUAAGGAAGACCUUACAAAAUUCUAUGAGAACCCUUUCUACCUGCAAGUUCUGAAGGAGCAUGUAGUGCCUAACUGCCAUGUAUGCCCUGACAUGGACUAAUGAAUGUGGAUUAUGAAUCUGAAGUGGAAGACGAUAUACUUCCUAUAUUUCGUAAAGGAGAGGUUACAUGCAACAUACCCUCUGAUCUCCAUUGAUAUCAUGAACUUUGCUUCUACAAGUUUCUUCUUUGAGUCAACAGAGAAUAAUACUUGUCCUUCUUUUUCUGAUACAGGUUUAGGAUAUCUAAUCAUUAGAUGCUGAAAAAUGAAUAUAUGUUCAGAAUGGAUUUGUUUUAUUUAAUUUACAGCUUGCAAGAAAUACGUUAUGCUUCUCACUACCAGUUUCUGAGUUCUUCUUAUAACUUCUGAAAUAGAUUAAUUUGCUUUUGGUGACAGGACUUCAACUAUGGUAUAGAGUUUGUGCUUCUGAUUGUAUUUGUUGAGGCUGCAAUCAGUGGACCAGCAGAAGAUGCAUUGACAUCUCUUCAAGAGCUUACUAUGGAAUUUCCAUGCUUAAUUGUCCAAUGCACUCAAGGUUCAAACUUCAAUUUUAGCAGUGAGGAUUAUACACAUGGUGUUGUGAUACGGUUUCGAUCUCGUGAGGCCUUUGAGAUAUUUUUUACCAGCUCAAGAUACAGAGAUGUGUGGAAAUCUAAAUUCCAACCAAUAGCCAGGAAAACACUAGCCAUUCAUUUUUCUGUUGAUCCAGUGGGCACUGAGAUAAUGUAGUAAGAAUCCAUUACUUUUACUUUUUGCAUUCCUGAUGCUGCAAGUAGACAUAUGCGUGAGAAUAAAAUAGAAUGGUUGCACAGGUUUGUAACACAUCCCAACUUCCUUCUCCCUUCUCUCCUCACCUAACUAAACUGCUGUUCAUUUUGUUUCUUCUUUCUCCCUGCCUUUACUAUAUCUUGAGUUGUAUCUUGGGUGGGUGGUUGUCUUUUUCAGAUCCAUUUGGUUCAAGGUGUGACUUUAGCUUGGUUUUUUUCCUUUUGUUGGGAAUUUUGUCAUUAGAUCUCUUUAAUAAAAUUGCUUUUUGCUUUUCAAAAAAUAUAUAUUUGACUGCUACAAUAUUAUGAAAAUGUGUUUGUAGUUCACCGGUACUCUUUUAAAUAGACCAAUUGGUAGUUGAUUAAUGAUAUUAGUAAGGCUUUACCAGAUCUUUAGUAAAUUGAGCUCCCACCUAAAUUUGUCACGGAUUUUAUAUCAUUUCAUGACUGGUACAGUCCAAGAUCUUUCCCCGUGCACAUUCUUAUUCUACUAUUUUCUUCAAUUAGAUUAAAUGACUUAGUUAGAUAUGAGUUCCAACACAAUACUUGUCUAAAGUUUAUUUGGUUAGAGACGAUAGGGUAACAAGGACAUUCUUUGCAGGGUAUUCUUGGAGAAAUGAUGCAAGUUUCAGCCAAUAUUGCUUAAAGGGUAUUAUUCAUGGUGAUGAACCUCAAGAAAUAUUGCUUCAAGGGUACAGGACAUCAAUUUCACUAUGACAUUUUUAUGUAUUCUCGUAAUUGCAGAUGCAAAAAGUUGAUUUAUUUUAUCGUUGUCCUUAACUAAACAAUUUCUUGUGUUAUGCAUCUGAGGUUGAAUAACACUUUGCAUUAAAAUGUUAUGUGGUUCACGACUUCAUUUUGGUUACAAUUGAAUAUUUUUAAUUUUUU